UCUUCCCUCUAGCUCCAGGCUUAACACAUGCAAGUCGAGGGGAAACGACAUCGAAAGCUUGCUUUUGAUGGGCGUCGACCGGCGCACGGGUGAGUAACGCGUAUCCAACCUGCCCAUCACUUGGGAAUAACCUUGCGAAAGUAAGACUAAUACCCAAUGAUAUCCCACGAAGGCAUCGGAAUGGGAUUAAAGAUUUAUCGGUGAUGGAUGGGGAUGCGUCUGAUUAGCUUGUUGGCGGGGUAACGGCCCACCAAGGCAACGAUCAGUAGGGGUUCUGAGAGGAAGGUCCCCCACAUUGGAACUGAGACACGGUCCAAACUCCUACGGGAGGCAGCAGUGAGGAAUAUUGGUCAAUGGGCGAGAGCCUGAACCAGCCAAGUAGCGUGCAGGAAGACGGCCCUAUGGGUUGUAAACUGCUUUUAUAAGGGAAUAAAGUGGGUCACGUGUGACUUUUUGCAUGUACCUUAUGAAUAAGGACCGGCUAAGUCCGUG
This 492-nucleotide ribosomal RNA is filed under the name uncultured bacterium. RNAcentral describes it as "partial 16S ribosomal RNA". It matches the Rfam family "Bacterial small subunit ribosomal RNA", at positions 36 to 507 of the family's 1533-position model. The record is from RNAcentral.